UACGAAGGGUGCAAGCGUUAAUCGGAAUUACUGGGCGUAAAGCGCGCGUAGGUGGUUCAGCAAGUUGGAUGUGAGAGCCCCGGGCUCAACCUGGGAACUGCAUCCAAAACUACUGAGCUAGAGUAUGGUAGAGGGUGGUGGAAUUUCCUGUGUAGCGGUGAAAUGCGUAGAUAUAGGAAGGAACACCAGUGGUGAAGGCGACCACCUGGACUGAUACUGACACUGAGGUGCGAAAGCGUGGGGAGCAAACAGG
This 253-nucleotide ribosomal RNA is filed under the name uncultured bacterium. RNAcentral describes it as "partial 16S ribosomal RNA". It matches the Rfam family "Bacterial small subunit ribosomal RNA", at positions 524 to 776 of the family's 1533-position model. The record is from RNAcentral.